GAUGAACGCUGGCGGCGUGCCUAAUACAUGCAAGUCGAGCGAACGGACGAGAAGCUUGCUUCUCUGAUGUUAGCGGCGGACGGGUGAGUAACACGUGGAUAACCUACCUAUAAGACUGGGAUAACUUCGGGAAACCGGAGCUAAUACCGGAUGAUAUUUUGAACCGCAUGGUUCAAAAGUGAAAGACGGUCUUGCUGUCACUUAUAGAUGGAUCCGCGCUGCAUUAGCUAGUUGGUAAGGUAACGGCUUACCAAGGCAACGAUGCAUAGCCGACCUGAGAGGGCGAUCGGCCACACUGGAACUGAGACACGGUCCAGACUCCUACGGGAGGCAGCAGUAGGGAAUCUUCCGCAAUGGGCGAAAGCCUGACGGAGCAACGCCGCGUGAGUGAUGAAGGUCUUCGGAUCGUAAAACUCUGUUAUUAGGGAAGAACAUAUGUGUAAGUAACUGUGCACUUCUUGACGGUACCUAAUCAGAAAGCCACGGCUAACUACGUG
Molecule: ribosomal RNA, 497 nt
Filed under: uncultured bacterium
Lineage: Bacteria
Description: partial 16S ribosomal RNA
Rfam family: Bacterial small subunit ribosomal RNA
Source: RNAcentral